This 3210-nucleotide long non-coding RNA is filed under the name Mus musculus (house mouse). Its description in RNAcentral is "long non-coding RNA chr2:4781428-4784638". Lineage: Eukaryota; Metazoa; Chordata; Mammalia; Rodentia; Muridae. The record is from RNAcentral.
AGGUGCUGGAUAAUUAUUUCCUGAAUGAGCACAUACUAUUUUUCUAACAAGGCCACAUGAUGUCAGGGUUCAAGAUAAGAAGCAUCACCCUGUUUAUGCACAGGUCAGACAGCAUCAUCCACUUUAACAGUCCUUUAACAAUCAGCAGAAAGGGUGAGAGAAACUGUAUGCUGAAGCAGUCACAUCUCAAAAGACUUCUUGUGAUUUUGUGUCUCACAGUGUACUUGGAAGAUUUGUGAGUGUACAGAGGCCAGUGAUAGGAAAGAGUUGGGGCAUUCAGAGGCCUGGUGGCAUUGGAGUAUGUGGUCUAGUGUAAUUGGUGGUACGUGAAGACCUGGGCUUCCUCCAACCUAUAUAAAGCUCUUCGUGGAAGCACUUUGGUCUCCAGAAGUGGGUAUUACUCAGGUACCCAUGGGACAAGCUGCCUUCUGAGUCUGUGUGUAACCACAGUGAGGGCAAGGACUGCCCUAGGGCCUUCAUCUGUAUCUUGGGAAGCCCCAUUCCCUGAAACUCCGUGGCUUUGCCUCUCUUUGCACAUCUCCUCAUCUCUAUCAGCUGGGCUCUUCCUCUAGCUCCCCCACUCCCUGCCCCCAGCUCUGGCUUUAUAUCUGACAUAGCAGGGCUCCCCACAUGGUGAUUCUAACGCUCUGCACACCACACUUUCAUUGUAGUUGCUCGCUGUGCUGGGGGAGGCAGAACCAGGUCCUGCUCUCCUCUGCUAGCGUGAUGGGCUUUUGCAUCACCGCACAUCUCCACACACCAUCGGCUCAGCUUCCGUGUGUGGCUCCUCCUCAUCUAUUCGGCUGGUCUCCACGGUCAGUGAAGUAGCAUCCACAGGGCAGGAAAUCAGCCAGAUUCAUCCAGUUUUCUCUCCCCAGAUGUCGCCACACUUCUCUUGAGUGUGGUUAAAAACAACAUCAACAUUCUCAUCUUUGACGUGGAAAUAAUUACAUAAUCAUUGCUUUGCUUCUGUUGAGGAUCUGACCGUUUUCCUCUUACAAUACCUAUAUACUCAUCUACAAAAUCAAAGAUUAAAAACCCAGUAAUUUCUAUGGAAAACAGUCCUUUCUGGCUGUGCGAUCUCAAAUCAGUUAUUUAACUUGCACAUCCUUGGAUCUUGUCAUCUGUAAUUAAGAUCACAAUACCCACCCCACUGGUUAUUGUGAAGAUUAAAUGAUCCCUAUAAACUGCUUAGCACAUGGAAAGCCUAAAAUAAUAGCCUUAAGAGAGCAGAAGAGGCUGAGAUGGGUGUGAGUGUCUUUAAUUCCAACGCUGAGAUUAACUCUGCUCUUAAACACUCUUGGCUACAAGUGGUCCCCAGUUGGAUCUCUACUACAAAUACUGUUGUCCCUAGCCCCACCCCCUGCCCCCGGCCCCAAGGCUUAAGGAAUUUGGCAUGUAAUGAAGACCCACUUUUCACAUCUUCUCUAUACAAACCUUAGUUUCCAUUUGGCAGCUUGAGUUAUAACUGAGUCAUUGUAGCUGAAAGUGUACAAUCACUGCUGGCCAGAAUCCUUAAACCACAGGAGACUGAAUUCCUACCAACCUCCUUCUCCUCAGUGUGUGCACGGCGCAGUGAUGUCCUGUAGAAGUCAGUGUGUGCAUGGCGCAGUGAUGUCCUGUAGAAGUCAGUGUGUGCACAGUGCAGUGAUGUCCUGUAGAAGUCAGUGUGUGCAUGGUGCAGUGAUGUCCUGUAGAAGUCAGUGUGUGCACGGCGCAGUGAUGUCCUGUAGAAGUCCAUAUCCUACUCUGUUUUUCCAGUCCAGAAAAACCCGAAUAAGCAGUCCCUUGAACUUGUUUUUGGGGGCCGUGGCCAGUCUGCUGUGUUGGGAUUGUCAGACACACUGCCCAGCACCAGGCUCUUUGAGGAUUAUAUUAAAAGCCACAUUCCAGGGAAGGAUCUGCUCAGCCACCACAAGCCUAUUCAUUAUUUAUAAACAAUUAAAGGGCAUGGUUCAAAUGAAUGCAAGCAUCUGGGAAAGUCAUUAUUCAUGUACGAAUCUACUCAAGCAUUUGUCAUCUCCCUGGUGACUUAACAUACUCUCUGUGCCUUGAGACCUCAGAUUAUAUUAAGCAAAGUAGAUGCUUAAACUCUUUUAUUUAGUUUAAUCGUUGGUCUCACUCCACUUGUUCAGAUUAUUUGGGCUCGUUUAAAAUUAGCCCUCCUGUCUCCUUGAUACAUUAAAAUAGGAAGGAGGGAAAUUUCGUUUUAGAACCUACUGCAUUCCGAGGAUGAAUGCAAAUUAUCCUACUAUGAUUCUUAAUGACCCACUAUUAACAUAGUAGGAACCCCAGUGCACUAAUGCACUGCUACUUUUCACAUCAUUACUCCUAAUGGAAGUGUUACCAGGAUAAUAGCUUGACCUUUAGCUAUAGAUUCUGAUAGCAAAAUAUAUUCUGCUUCUUCAUACCUCUAUUCACAUAGCGUAUCUGCCACUUUCACAUCAGCGCCAUGACGAUCUUUCGGCCUUGUUCUGAGGUCUCAUCUGCGGUUGUAAUGGAGAGAAUAGAAUUUCAUCUUCAAUAGGUAAAUUCUAGUUAAAAGUCCCUUUGAAGUUCAGAUGUAAUCCAUGAGCCAGAAUGUCAAUAAUGUGCCUAGCGGAAGUAUUUGUUUGUGUAGGCAUUUUUUUUUUUUUAAGAAGCCCGUGCUGUGCCUUCAAAGGUCUUAGUCAUGGGCCCAUGGGAUGGUGAUUUCUCUAACAUUUUUCUAUUGAAAGCAGAAAAGAAAGCAGAAGUGUUAACUGAAAGAAGGAAAAAGUAAGCAGGAAGUGUUGCCUUUUUAAGUGACUGAUGACUAACGGAGCUCAAGGUUAGACUGUAACUCUCGGAGCUGCAGCCCUGCGGGGAAUGAGAGAGAACUUUCCACAGCCUUCCCUUGGGUUAUUCUGAACCGGCCGUUGGCACACACAGAGCCAUUGGCCAUUGGCAUAGCUCGGGUCUACUUUGUUAUUUUGGAAUCACAACUUGCUAAUGUGUGAUGAUUUGGGCACAGACAUUUUACAAUCUUACGAAAGGAGGUUGCUAUGGAAAUUAAUUGUGUACAUAGCAUUCUAAGUGAAAAGAUAUUUACCCCAUCAUUUCUGUAGUAUGCUUUUUAUUUAAAUGAAUAGAGUGUUAAGUACAAAUGAAUUGUUUUGUAAAUUUUAUUUAUUAAAUCAGAACUUCGAGCACCUUUUGACAGUUCUUCAACUAGUAAAUGUUAUUGUGGGC